This 433-nucleotide ribosomal RNA is filed under the name uncultured bacterium. Its description in RNAcentral is "partial 16S ribosomal RNA". It matches the Rfam family "Bacterial small subunit ribosomal RNA", at positions 29 to 507 of the family's 1533-position model. The record is from RNAcentral.
AACGAACGCUGGCGGCAUGCCUAACACAUGCCAGUCGAACGAGACCUUCGGGUCUAGUGGCGCACGGGUGCGUAACGCGUGGGAACCUGCCCUUAGGUUCGGAAUAACUCCCCGAAAGGGGUGCUAAUACCGGAUAAUGUCUUCGGACCAAAGAUUUAUCGCCUUUGGAUGGGCCCGCGUUGGAUUAGCUGGUUGGUAGGGUAAAAGCCUACCAAGGCGACGAUCCAUAGCUGGUCUGAGAGGAUGAUCAGCCACACUGGGACUGAGACACGGCCCAGACUCGUACGGGAGGCAGCAGUGGGGAAUAUUGUACGCUGGGGGAAGGCCUGAUCCAGCAAUGCCGGGUGAGUGAGGAAGGCCUUAGUGUUGUAAAGCUCUUUUACCCGGGAUGAUAAUGACAGUACCGGGAGAAUAAGCUCCGGCUAACUCCGUG